Transfer RNA from Acholeplasma oculi, 86 nucleotides. It matches the Rfam family "tRNA". From Rfam's summary of the family: Transfer RNA (tRNA) molecules are approximately 80 nucleotides in length. Their secondary structure includes four short double-helical elements and three loops (D, anti-codon, and T loops). The record is from Rfam. NCBI's taxonomy places the organism in Bacteria, Bacillati, Mycoplasmatota, Mollicutes, Acholeplasmatales, Acholeplasmataceae.
GGAACAAUACUCAAGUGGCUGAAGAGGCACGCUUGGAAAGCGUGUAGACUGUAACAGGUGCGAGGGUUCAAAUCCCUCUUGUUCCG